This 22377-nucleotide long non-coding RNA is filed under the name Aquilegia coerulea. Its description in RNAcentral is "long non-coding RNA (ACOE_LNC001627)". The record is from RNAcentral. Lineage: Eukaryota; Viridiplantae; Streptophyta; Magnoliopsida; Ranunculales; Ranunculaceae.
CUCGAUAAAAAGUUGAAUUUAGGGUACUUACUGGUUUUGAAUUUUAGGUAAUCUCUUGGAUUGUUACAGAAUAAUCAAAGUUGGCAAGAAUGAGAAAGGAAUUCACUUACGUUUUCUUUGUGCAACUAUAUAUUACUCUUUGACUGAAGUGAAUUUUCAUAGCCUUACCUACAUUUGUGUCAUUGUGUGCGAGUGUGUGUGUGUGUUUCUUUGCAAAGGCCAUUUCUCCCACUUACAUUUUUCAUUCUUAAUCUGGAUAGACGUCUAUCCAGAUUAUGUCACCAUGUGGUUUUUCAGGAACAGACAUAUACGACAAUUAUAGAUCGUUUAAAACCAAUAAUGUUGUUUAGGUCGAUAAUCCUAUACUUCUUAAAUUGUUGGCUGUCAAUACCAGAUUUCAACCUCAGUUCAGUUAUAAUGAGAACGAGUCAUCACAAUUAGUGCUCCCACUGAAUUUUCUCAACUCCCGUCCAAUUACAAUAUACAACUUUGAAGGUUCAGUUCUGCAUUUAUCUUGUACUCGAUAAAUUUGUAAUGGCUCUUUAUUGUUUUGCAGGGAGAGAAUUUGACUAUGUAGCACAACACCGAAAUCUGAGUGAACAGUGAACACAAACACAUUCUGAAAUGAGACAAGGUACUUGCGUUGUUGUUUUAUUCAAAAAAUAUCUAUUUAGGACGAAGGCUUCAAAUUUCAUUGUUUUUCAAUAGACUUGAUUAAGUUUGUCAACUAUUUGGUCGUUGAUGGUCUUAAUCCACAGUAUUUGAUGUUUGCCAAUUUCGAGGACUAUUGAUAUCAUGUUAGGACACUUAGGUCUAUACUGAAUUAAAUAAACAUUGUCCAAAUCCUUUUUCUUAUACGUUCUAUUGGACAAAUAAGAUCAUAGUACCUUUCUGCACCUAACAUUUCAAAACCAUUCUCUCAACCACUAUUUAGUUGUAUUUAGGCUUUUACAAUUAUUUAUCUCUCAAAUGAGGUUUAAUUGUAAUUACUGAUUUACAAUUGUUCCUUUAUUUUGAUUUCUUCAUCGGAUGGAGUUUUUCUCUGUGUUGUGAGCUUUCCAUUGAUAUUUAUUAUUCAUCGAAAUAGUGAUAUUUCUCUCCCAAAUUUUAAAUUGCAAAUAUUAUCCACUAAUAGUGAUCGACAACAAAUAAAAUAUUUUUGAGGCAUGGUUUUAUUUAGUGGAAUUUUUCCUUUUACUAAGAACGUUUUUUUAUAGAGCCUUCCACAUCUGUUCUCGGAAACAUAACAAAUCAACAUACCUAUUCCUCUGCUGCUGUGGUUUGAUUUCAUUAGCUUGCUGCUGCUGUGGUUUGACUUCUCUCUUUGGCAUUUUUACUAAGGUUAGUUCGACUUUUCUUUUUUCUUAGUUUGUAGGUUGUGGAUUGAUAAAUCAGUGUCUUUACCAGGGAUUACUAAAUAUGUUGGAUUGGUACUACCAAUCCAUUCUUGAAUGAUUCGUGAUUGUCUACCUGAACACCUUCUUCCAAUAAUGGACACACUAACAACAUGAACCCUCAGUAAUUUGCAGUGAAUUCCAGGCAUACAAGAACUGGAAUUUUUGUUGUUGCUGAUUCUUUCUAUUUUUUUGUAUUGUUAUUCUGUUGUUAGAAAAAGUUAUUUAAAGUUUCAUGUACAACAAUUUCCAUCUUGCUGGGUAGCUCCUUAUAUUAGUAGGAGUAGUUGGAUGAAUGUUUAGUAGUCCGGCACAUUUCAAUCUCUGCUGCAGUUCGUCCAGGCAAUUUUCUUCCAAUCAAAUGCCAUCUGAGGUUUAAUAAAAAAAAAGGUCAUUAAACUCUCGAAAAACAAUAUUAGUGUGUCGGCUGUAUUAAAUGAUAACUGUGUUCUUGUAUGGUCUUUAAUUUUAGCAUUACAUUUAUUUAGAUUUAGAUUUAUUUAUUAUUUAUUUGUGAUCUAUUUGGUUUCCACUAGGAUUGUUAUUGGUUGCUUGCGUUUAUUUGGAUUGGAUUUAUUUAUAAAUUUCGAGGGAUGACUGUGAUAAAUAGGUUCCCCAAAUUUAUUAUUUAUUGUGAUAGAGUUGGGAGACCAACAACGACAGGUUCGUAUGUCUGUUACAUAUGGGAUAUGGUGGUACAAGAAAUAUAUUGCAUGUUCUUUAAUGAAACCUCUCUGUGUAUGUGAUACAAUAAAGAUUGUUACUGCUUUACCGUUCUUGCUCUAUAAUGUUAUGGCAUAAGAAGUUAUUCUAACUUACUAUGAUCUUUCUGUCAACCAUUGUUACAUUUGUGAUAUUUGAUGGGUGCACUGUCACAAUUGCAUCUAUUAUUUUGAAUGUGCUCAAGAUGGCGAUGUUCCGAUUUGACCGUUAAUCACAGAUUGGAAGACAAUGCGGAAAGGUGUGCAUCUGCUCCAGAAUUUUGUUGUUGUUUACUAUGCUCUUUGGAUGUGCGUAAAUUUGUUAUUUUCAUGACUGCAGAAAAUUAAAGAACAUGUAACUGCAAGUGGAGGCAUGUUGGGAGGCUUAGUAUUGUUGGUGGUCUUAAGGUAUACAAUUAUUUAUUCAUCAAAUUUAGUUAAUACAACACAAUAUGCUUGCUUGAUAACCUGAGCUUACACUUGCUUAUCUGAGAAUGCAGACAACCUGAUUGUAUUGAUCACAGUAGUAUACCUGCUUACAAACUGAUCUAAUUGCUUCAAUUGCAUAUAUGUAAGCAAUUCCUAUUAGGAAAUCGAUUCAACUUACAUCCUAUUAUCAAUUAAUACUUAGGUGUGUUCCAUUUGCUCAUGACUGCAACUUGCUUGACUAAAACACUGAUUCGUUGGGGUUAAAUCCACGUCUGAAAGAUCUCCACAUUUAACCAGUCUGUCACGUGCAACCAAAUCCUGAGAUUCCUGUUCCCUCUUUCUCUUUCCCUCUUCUUUUGCUUUUUCUCAAUCUCUCGCUCUCCCUCUCAUAUCUAAACAUAGGUUUCCAAAUACUGUAUCUCAUCUUGAUUUCUAGAUGGAUUAUAUGUGUUUGAACUUUCCAAUGUUUGUGUUGUAAAAAUAUGUUUUUCCCGCAGGAUUAUGCAACAGAGACACCAUUGUCAUCUUGAGAUGGAAAAUAUCACCUACUACAAUAUAUCAUCAGUCAGUAGUUCUGUUAACAUUUUUGCCCCCCUUGCUUGGCAUAAUAAUGAAGCAUUUUGUAAUAGAAGUUGCUUAUAUUUAUUAAGGCUUUGGUUUUCCAUGGUGUAGGAUCAGGAAAUUGGAAUUUGGUGUCAGCUCAGGGGAAGAGACUUCAAUGGGCAUCUUAUCCUCUGGUAUUAGCUUAGUAAACUUAGCUGCGACUUUCAAUCUCUAUUUUUUCUUCUAUUAAUUUCCCCAAAAUAAUUCCCUCAAAAAGGAGGUCCAACAAACAUAAAAUGGUAGGACUAUUUUCAAUUAACAUAAAUUUUUCUUUUGUUUUUUGAAAGUUGGAUUGAUUACCAAUUCCAUGUUUUUGAACGCUCGGAUUAGUAUUAUGGUAUACUGAACCAAUGUUUGAGUUUGCUUUUGUUUGCUACCAAUGUUUGAGUUUGGCAUUGGAUUGGUUCAGCUCCCUUUUAUGCUAGGUAAGAUUAAUGUAUUAAUAUGAAUAGUUCUUUGGGUUAGCUCUAAUAUCAUGGACUUGCUUUUUUUGGUUAAAUAGUUUAGAAUUGUUUGUCAUAUAACAUAGUCCCUUGUUGGGAGAGAAUUGAGGUAGUUAUGGAUGCUACUUCUUCCACUUAUGCUUAAAUACCAUCUUUACGUCAAUUAAAAUUGCGGACAAGCUCGAUGAGGAUUCGCUUGAAGAGGUUUGUACAUGAAUUUCUUGAUAUUUUUCUUAUUUUUUUAGAUGAACUUUGAAUACCCAUUUGUCGUAAUUCUUGGCGGUAAAUGAUAUCUAUUUAUAUUAAGAUUUUGUUAUUGAUUGAUACCCAGUGUCAUAUUUGUUAUACUACAUUAUGUUUUGUAUUCAUGUAAAAUAGUUUGAUAUUUCUUUGUAGUAGACCAACUCGGGACAAUUGAUGCACUCGCUACGAGGGCUUUUAAAACAGCGGUUUUGAGUUUUGACUAUGUUGGAACAUUUCCUGUUUUGGAUAUGUCUUUCUAGGGUACUGAGUUACCGAUUAAGAAUCUUGAGUUAUUUGAGUCUUUAAAUAGCUUAACCAAAGGUAUUAUCACCUGUUCACCUAAUAUGUUAAGUACUGUCUGAUGCGAUAUGAUAUUAGGAUGUGCUAUAUUAUGGGCCCCCUGAUACAGGGUAAAAAAUCCUAGUGAGUAAUGAUUCAUACUCUGACUUCACCUUUAUCAAAAUUUACAGUUCUGAAUUAGUUCAGAAUAUAUUGGGGAGGGAUUUUGAGUGGUUAUAAAGCUCUUUGUAAUGGGUGUUUAGUUCUUUUUCUACAUCUCUUAAACAGUGCAAUUUUGUUCACGUUAUUGUUUGUUUCUCUAUUCCUUUUUUGCAUGUUAACUGUUAGUAAACUGCAUGCUGUCUUCUUGGCUGAUUAAAACUGCAAAUGCAACUUUUUUUAUUUAUUUGCACCAUAUGUUAGUGGGUCUUGUCACUUGUGUAACAUGUUUUCAUCCAUUGCUUCCAUGAUGAGCAAACCUCAUCCUUAUUUCUGAGACGGUAAAGUCAGAGCAUGACUCGCUCCUCCUCCUGAUAAGUUUCCUUAUCACCUUUGUUUAAGAUAUUAUCUCAAGAUUGGAGAUGAUUUUAUGGCAAUUAUCUGCAGUUCUUAGACAUUUCAGAUUGCUUGAGGAGAAAGUAAGGAAAGGAAUUGGCCAUCAAACGUAAAGGGAUGAUGCUGAUGAUUAUGACACCAUUAUUGGCCCUCAAACGUAAGUUUUCGCCCUUGCUUCCUGCUGAAAAUGAAGCUCACUUGUCUCACUUCCUACUGCUUCUUUGUCUGAUCACGAUGGACGUAUCUUCUUGUUAAUUUUGUAUGCCAUUGUUUACCCAGAGUCCAGAUAAAGCAAUAUACGGUGAGUUUCAAUCAAGGAUAAAUUUGAUCAGUGUGAACCAAGAAACUGGAUUUGGAAGUUCUUACUAUUCACAAGUAUUUUGUUUCUUAUCAGUCCACCUUGAGGCUUGAAUUACUAUGAUUAGCUUAUGGAUAAGCUAGUUACCAGGUUGAGCGAAGUCAAUUCCCAAUGCUUGCAAACUGGGAGCAGGAGUACACAAUCGAAGACAUAUUGAACCGGUUGAAGAAAGAAUGGACAUCUCCAAAUCGAAUAUCGAAAGCUGGAUUGCCCAGCCCCGUGAAGGUGAGUUCCCUGACUAUAUAGUUAUGUUCCUAACUUUGGAGUUAAGUGAUUCAAAUUAGAACUUAAAGAAACACGUCGUUGUCCCAAUUGACCAUUGAGCGACACUAAGUUGCAAUACUGAAGCUGAUCUAUGAUUUAAGGAAUAUAUUAAAAGAUAGUACUUGCUUGUCUCAAAAAGAAAUCUGCAGAUGGAUAAUUGGUCAGUCUAUAUGCCCUGGCUAUAGCAAUAAGUUCCCGGUGACUGCACUAGUUGCCUAUAGGUUAAGUUUUCCUACAAAUUAAUAAACUUAAAAUACCUUGUAGCUAGUCAUAUGGAUCUGAUGUUGUAGAGAGAUGUGCUUGCAGAAAUGAGACGACAUGGAUUGUUUGCACAUAUGUAGACAACCUCGCCUACAGAUAUCUGUUUGUAAUUUUAAGAUUAAGUUAUGUACAUGUCCAUAACGCAUGCGAUAACAUCAAUGAAGGCUUUGUUUGUGGUGUGUGGAAAUUGACAUGUUGUUCCCGUAUAGCUACUUGAUUAAAUUCAGAAAUUUGUAUUCAUAGGACAAAUUAAAACAUACAAUAUAAAGCUGACUAAAUUGAUCAAUGCUGGUGAUGGCAUGGAUAUAGGAUUUUUAUAUCUGUUUGUGUUGGGGUUUAUAGAGUUUGUUCUGAAAAGGGGAGCCGCAGUCCAUGGAUGCUUACCCUUACGAGCAAUAAUUUUCUGCUUACUUGAAGAUAAAUUGAAAUACAAAAUGUUUGCUAGGCUAAACUAAAUUCAACAUAUUCUCUGUGUCCUAUUUUUAACCCACAAACAAAUUUGUUUUACAAACUUACUAAAAUAUCAUCUUGUCAAUUGGCAGGUGUGAAAAGAAGCAGCUACGUGGCUUGGGUCUUAGAAGAAUCAAACUAAUAAAUCGAGCUCUUCGCGGUAAAUUCUUGCUUAGGUUUGGUAGUGAAGACGGCAGCCUUUGGAAGUCAGUAAUAGUCUCAAAAUAUGGGGAGGGUGAUUAUGGUUGGUGGCCGAAGGAUGUUACAGCUUCAUAUGAUACUUUGAUGUGGAAAGGUAUUAUGGAUGUGUAUACAAUAUUCAAAGGGGGUCUCACUUGCAGGUUGGGCAAUGGAGAAAUAAUUCAAUUCUGGAGCUAUAUAUGGAUUGAUGCUAUUCCCUUGAAGGAGAGAUUUCCUGCUAUUUGCAACAUCUCCGAUAACAAACUUGGCACACUGAACAGCAUGAGAACACAAGGGAAAAAUCCAGAAGGGUGGCUUUUAUCAUUGAGGAGGAAUGCAUAUGAUGGAAGCAGGGGAAGCUGACUGAACAGAUUGAUAUGUUAGGUAACGUUGGAUUGAAGAUUAGAGUGAUACUUGGAGAUGGGUGUGGGAAAGGAAUGGGUACUUUACGGUUAAAUCUUUCUAUGAUCAAAUGGUAGAGAUGGAGAGAGAUCAGAAUGUCAUAAUGCAGCCAUUCCCCUAUCAGUUGGUGUGGCCAGCAAGAUUCCAGCUAGUGUAAAAUCUCUUUUUGGUAUACCAUUCCGAACAGGACUCUCACGAAGGAUACUUGAUUCACAGAGGCACUAAUGUUGAUCUGGUUUGCAUUUCAAGUGGAUUGCUGAAUGAAACAAUUUCUCAUCUGUUCCUGCACUAUUCCUUGGCAUUGCAUCUUUGGCAUGAGUUACUGCAGCCUAGAAAAUCAUGCUAUUCUUUGGUGUUAAACAUCUGAUUCAGUGGAGGAACGGUUAAUUGCUUGGCCAAGAGCAAAAGGUCUUCUACCGUAUUCUGUCAUCUAAAAUUUGUGGAAAGUAAGGAAUCAGAAGACCUUUAGGAUCUUAUGGUAUCUGUUGAAAGGUUUUGUGUGGAGGUAAAAACGACAUUAUGGGUGUUGGUCAGGGAGGACGUGUUACUGCUUUGAGGAUGUGAUGAUGCACUGGUUUGAAUUGUUGAAUGGUCUUUUUGUUAGAAACAGUAUAAUGUAUUAAUUUUUUGGAGUUCAAACUAAGCUAGCGGAUUUCUGUAAGUGGUUUUUGAACUGAGGCUGUUUACUUGUUUUAUUAAUUAAUAAAAUGAAUUUUAUCUGGAAAAAAAAAUCUCUUGGAAUAUACUGGAUUAUAGAGUAGAAUUAUGAAGCUGUUAGUUCCUUCACAACUAGGAGUUUUUGCCGCAAGUAGCAGAGUUAAGUAUGGUUGGAAUAAAAUUUAAACUCUAGAAAUAACACCACCUUUAUAAUCCUGGUAGGAAGAAGUGUCUCGCUCAGUCCUUCACUUGUGCUUUCACCAUUAAACCCAAGUGUCGUUAACGCAAUACACAAAAUGUAGUACUCAAGAUUGUAGAUUGUAAGUAGCUUUCAAGAUUGAUACAUGUUCGUUUCUGGAAUUCUGGCAGAUAAUUUUGUUCAUGCAUGAGCAUGACAUGGUGCUUAUCCUUUUUGGGCUAGGUAAGUAGGCUCUGAAGAAAUAAGUUUGAAUUUAAAAGCCCAAUACUGGCAAAAAGAUCUGGUCCAUGGGCUGAAGUUCUUGUGGGUAGUCCACAACCAGAUUCAAUAUGUUGAAUUGUUGGUGUUCUAAACGAAUUAAUUGGCAAAAAAAAAAAAGACUGAAACGAAUGGUUUUGAUGUUCCACGAUUUUAUCGAGAUCUGUGAAAAGUAUGACAAAUACUACACGAACAGACUGACAGACUCACACUUAAACUCAAACACAACGUCGGUCCUUCCAUCUCGAGGGUAUAAAACCAGCAACAACCCAACAACAGUUUUCACCACUCGUUCGUAUCACGGUUUCUCUCCAAAAAAUUUCUAUUAAAUUCGAGAUUCCUUAAGGUAAAUUUUUUUAUUAUUAUUAUUUUUUUUUCACCUAUUGGAUCAGAUAAAUUUGACAAAAAAACAUAUAUGAAUAGUUGAUGUAGUAUAUGAUUUAAAGAGAAUUAUGACUUAUGAUUAGUGUAACAAUUUGAAGUGAAAUAUGAAUAGUUGAUGGAGUAUACAAUUCAUUGUUAAUUAACAAGUUCCAAAUCAUGGAUACUAAAUUUUCAAUUGUUGAUGCAUUGUACAGGAUAUAUUUUUAUGAUUGAUGAACCUUAGUAGUGGGUAGUGUUUUAAUUAUAUCAUAGUCUUAGGCAGCUGCCUUCACAGUUUCUUAUAGAGACUUGUCUCCUUCACAAAGAUUUUUUCCCAAGUUCCUACAACAUUAUAUUCUAAGAUGAAUUUAGCUUUUUAUCUAAUAGCACAGUAGCAAUACCACAUUCCUUUGGGCCUCACAGUCAAGCUAGGUAAACUUAGCAAUAACAACUUUCUUGUAGUUUAGCAUUCUACGUAUCCUGAGUCCUUCUAGUCUAGCAUGUAGUUCAAGAUAGAGGAUAGUUCUUGUGCCAGAAUUUCCACUAUAACUCUAUAAGUACAUAAUACCUCCCUGUGUACAUCCCUUAGCAAUCCAUCAUAUCCUGCUCUUUCAGGUGUCAAACUCAGUUUAAACUUAAACCUUGUACUUCAUCUUUUCUAUUAUUAUGUUUCAAUUGUGUUCUUAUAUUUUGUUUGUUUUUAUUUUUAGUUUAUUACAGGUCGCAUGGAUAUCCAUGAUAUUUCGUGCAUGACAUGGUUUCCUAUCCUUUGUGGUCAGCUACGUCGAUUCUUUGUUCCAAAACACACAAUCAAUAGCCUUCUUCCAAAUAAUAGCUCCAUCCGCCAUAGCUCUCUCUUUUCCGAUGACCAUUGUGAUGAUCCUCGUUAUGACAACAAUUCUCUUCAUGAGACUAGUCUUCUUCACCUCCCAGAUGAUAUUAUCAUAAACAUCUUUAGUAGACUUGAUGGUGAUUGCGCCUUUCAGUGCUCUCGUUUGUGCACAUCACUUUCCACUAUCUUGUCAAGUCCAUAUUUUCUUUCUGGUCAUUGUUUUCGAGCUACCCCAAGCCUUAUUGUUCAAUGUUUUGAAUGGCGACCCAAACAGGGUGAAACUGGUGCCUAUAAGGGUGAUGUCGUUCUUCACAGUAUUGACAUAUCUGGAAACAUUGUGCCAUUAAGAGUGAAAUUCAAUUUGAGCUGUGUGUGGCCUAAGUUUGAUUGCAGGCCUUUCCUUGUUGGUUCGUAUAACGGAUUGCUUCUAUUUGAAAAUAAAAGUGAAUUUCACUCAGCUUUCUUUAUUUGGAAUCCUCUUACCCAAGAAAAAGUUACUCUUAUUCCCCCCGACGCUGAAUAUGAGGUGUGUGGAUUCUACUUCCACCCACCAGCAGGGGAGUAUAGAAUCCUCUACAUGGGUUACCGAAAUUACGAUUGGAAGUAUUUUAUACUUGGCUUGGGCACUAAAUUGUUGAGAGAGAUUUCUAACUUUUCUCUCGUUCCUUGUGCUCGAAGACUACCUCUCAUCUUAAAUGGGGCACUACAUUGGAUAGUUUCUGAGAUUUUUUCAGAUCUUGGAUGUCACACCUCUUCUUCUGCUUUUUGUUCAAAAUUAAUCAUGUUAUUCAAAACUGACAGUGAGGUUUUCGUUACUAUUCCACAUCCCAGAAUUGAAAAUUGCUCAAGUAGAAGACACAGAAUGAUGCAUCUCUUGGAGAUGGAGGGACAAUUAUGUUUAGGUGAUGUUAUAUCACCUACAGAGUUGCAUGUAUGGGUCUUACAAGAAAGAGAAAAGCAGAUCUGGGUUAGAACACACAAAAUCAGUACUAAGUCAAUAGUCCCCAAACAUUUUCAUCAUUUCCAUUUCUUAUCAGUGCCAACUUUGGAAGCUUUGUACAUUUGGAAUGGUAAGUUAUUAUUGAAGACUCUCUCACGGCGGUUAUACUCUUAUCAUCAAAAGUUGAAUACCUUUGUGGCUGUUAAUACAAAUUAUUUUGGAGACAAGAGCUUAACUUCUGUUAUUACUCAUUCUAACAGCAUGGCCUCACUGCAUACAGAUGAAAUUGUUUUUUUUUGCUAAUCUUGAAUUGCAAGAGAUCUAAACGUCUGUCUUUUUUCUUAAUUGAAUUGAAAUGAGCUUUUUAUUAUAGUUGUGGAUUAUUGCUAACAUUGUGAUUGCAGUGUAAACAUUAUGUUAAAUUUACAAGAAUAGCAGGUCUGGUCUGAUUCCUUCAUCGGGUGCCAACAGGAUUGAAAGAAUGAUUCUGAGAUUUCUUAUGGGGCUUGAUGAUUGAGAAUAGGAAGAUGCAUUUAGUUGCAUUGUGCAAAUCUCUUGAAGAGAGAAGAUUGGGUUUGAGAUGGAUGUAGACAUGAACCAUGAUUUUUUUGGAUUAUGAUAAUGGUGCUACGGCAAGGAAGAUAACUGCCUAUUGGAAGUCCAUCAUCACAGCUAACUAUAGACAAGGUUCGUUGUCUUGGUGGGCAAAGAAGGUAACUAGACUGCUGCUACAAGGGUCUAUGGAAAGUAUUGUUACUUUUUUUUUUUUUCCCUCAUUCCAACAUGGUAUUAGGCAUUAGUUUCUCUAUUGGUGAUGGAUCUAAGAUGCACUUUAGGAGUGAUGUAUGGUUUGGGAAUGACGUAUGGUGUUAUCUCUCUUUCUAUGAAUCUUUUCAUGGUUCAUAGAUCGAUGAGUGUAUGUUAAAAGAAGGAAAUGUUCCCGUAGAUGGUUCCAGGAAGUCCUGGAAUCUGCAUAGUGCAACUCUCAGUUUACACCUUAUGUUAUAGAGCUUCUUUAUUAGAUUACUGCAAAAACUUUGCCGAGGAAAGUCUGAAUUACUACUGCUCGCAAUUCUCACUCUAAAAUUAAGCAGUGAUGAUGUAAAAACUGAAAACUACUAGCAACCUCUAGAGUACCAUCCCUUUUUGUAUUUUGAGCAGCCUAUAGAGUACUUUCCCUUUCAUUUCUUUUAUCAUUAGCCUCUGCACUAGUAUCCUCCCAUUCCCUCCUAUUUUUCACUAGUUAGUAGUUACUCCCGAACCUUCCCCAAGAAAGAACAACACCAAUAUCCCAAAAGAUGUUACACCUACAAUAUUAGCAGCAGUUACAGCUACUUCACGGCUCAACAUUUCGCAACUAUCAUCCAAAUGAUACAUUGUUGUGCUAAAACCAAUAAAAAUGGUUAUCGUUAGCAGAAAAAUGGUCAACGCGUCAGCUGUUUUUGGCGUCGAGUCUUUAUCAAUCUUUCUGUUAAACCUUUCAAGGCAAUGUCAAUGCAAAAUUUUAACAAGUUUUAACAAAAUUCUCAGCCAAUGCAAACUUUUAGUUAGGUUUUAGUGUUGUUAGUUUUAAGUCGGUGUAUAUAUAUACACACCGACUUAAAACUGACAAGGUGUACUUUAUAAAGUUAUCCGCCAGAAACUGUGGCGGAUAAAUUCAAAAAUUAUAUAAAAUUAUAACUUAUCUGCCCGAAAUUGUGGCAGUUAAGCUUAUCCGCCAAAAACACUCUAGUUGUUAAGCUUAUCCGCCAGAAACUCUGGCGGAUAAGCAUCUAACAUGUUCAAUUUUUGCAGAACUGGAUUGGCUCCCCUAAAAACCUUCUGCAGAUUUUAACCUUCAAAAAGUCAAAAGCACCUUCCCUCAUCUUAUGUAGAGGGUCUUUCUCCAAAUUUUUUUUCAGUGAUGGAAGAUCCUUUUCAAAUUGAUUCAUCUUGACAGUGGUCAUAUCAACUUUUUUAACUUCAACAUUGGGAGGGAAGAAUGAAAUGCGGAUUUGGGUUUUUAAUUGGGCCUUUGUUAAGUAUGAAUUCGGACGCCCAACACUAGAGGAUCCACGAUCCAGUAUCAAAGUCAAACAAAUGGUUUUGACUUUUUUGAAGAAGGAAUCUGACUAAAACUCUCAAUCUAAGUAUCUCAGUAUCUGACUCAAACUCAACCACUGUCUUCUGCAUCUCGAGGAUAUAAGCAGCAAACAGCCUCGUAAGUCGUAACACUCCAUCUCUCUCAAAAAAAAAAAAAAAAAAAAAUUCCUGGAUUCGAAUUCGCUUAAGGUAACAGUAAUUUUUUUUUUUUAUGCUAUUGAAUGAAAUAGUUGCCUUUUGAAAGAAAAGAAAAAGUUUGAAUUGUUGAUGUAUAUUAUAUGAUAUAUAAGUAAUUGUCAAUUAAAUAGUUACCUUAUAACUUUAUUUUUUUUGGUUUAUGUACAGGUUGCAUGAAUGAUGGAUAUUGAUAUUUCCUGCAUGACAUGGCUUCCUAUCCUUUGUGGUCAGAUACGUCGACUCUUUGUUCCAAAACACACUAGUAAUUAUAGUCUUUUUCUUCUCCUCCCAGAUGAUAUUAUCAUAAACAUCUUAAGUAGACUUGAUGCUGUGUGUGCCUUUCAUUGUUCACGUUUGUGCAAAUCAAUUUCCACUAUCUUGUCAAGUCCAUAUUUUCUUUCUGCUCAUUGUUUUCAAUCUGCCUUUAUCGUUCAAUUUUUUGAAAGACUACCCAUACAUGAUACAAGCGGUGUCUAUGGGUGUGAAAUAGUCCUUCACUGUGCUGGCCUAUCUGGAAACACUGCGGCAUUAAGGAUGAAAGUCAAAUCGAGCUAUGUGUUUUCUGAUUUUGAUUGCAGGCCCUUACUUUUUGGUUCGUACAAUGGAUUCCUUCUAUUCCGUAACCAUAGUCUAUCUCACUCAGCUUUCUUUAUUUGGAAUCCUCUUACCCAAGAACAAGUUACUCUUCUUUCUCCAAAUCUUGUUUAUUAUAUGUGUGGACUAUACUUCCACUCAUCAACAGAGGAGUAUAGAGUCAUCUUUAUGUGUGGCACAAGGUUUUUUCUACUUAGUUUGGGCACAAAGUUGUUGAGAGAAAUUCCCAACUGUCCACAAUUUCCUUGUAAUCGUAGACCACCUGUCAUCGUUAAAGGGGCACUACAUUGGAAAGUUGCUUUUUGGACCUCUUCUUUCUGUUCAAAUUUCAUCUUGGUAUUUAAAGUUGACUCUGAGGUUUUCACUACUAUUCCACACCCAAGAAUUGAAAAUUGCUCAGAUAAAAGGCACAGAAUGAUGCAUCUCUUGGACAUGAAGGGGAAUUUAUGUCUAUGUGAUGUUAUAUCACCUACAGAUUUACACGUAUGGGUUUUACAUGAAAAGCUGGUCUGGGUAAGGAUGCACAAAAUCAGCACCGAGUCAGUAUCUCCCAACGUAUUCCAUGAUCGUGACUGGUACUCACUGCCAACUUUGGAAGCUUUGUACAUCCAGAAUGAUGAAUUAUUAUUGAAGCCUUACAUGCCGCCAUUAUAUUCUUAUCAUCUAAAACAUAACACCUUCAUGGCUAUUGCUGCAAAUUAUUUUGCAAACAUGACCUCAACAUAUGCUGUUGUUCAUUCUAAUAGCAUGGCCUCUCUUCAUACAGAUGAAAUUAUUAUUAUGGAUAAUCUUAAAUUGCAAGAGUUGUAAAUGUCAUCAUUUUGUUAACGAAAUUAAUUUGGAUGCGCCUUGUUUUAUAAAGGGGGACUAUACCUGACAUUGAUUGUUAUUGUUUUAUGUUAACUUUCAUGUAGCUGCUUAGUGUACUUGUGUCUUAUUACAGGUAUAGAGCAUCUAGAUGUGUUUGAUUAUAACUACUUUGCAACUUCCUGUGUUACUUUAACUUUGUCAUGUGUUUUAAGUUGUCUUCUAAAACAUUGAACAAGUAAACUUGGUCAAUCGCACAGAAUUGAAUAGAAAAUUAUAAUGGAUUAGUGGCAACACCAGAACUUUUCACUCAGAUAUUCAAUACAAAAAAGCCAAUGACCAAUUGCAGCGUGGAUUUUAUUUUCUUAGAAAAUUAUCAUGGAGUUGCUGAUUUUGGUGAAUUUCAGACUUUUAAAUAACACUCACAUGUUUAAGGAGGGUUGGAGGUAGUUAUGAGUGCAGUUCCUACUUCAGAUCUCCUAUUAGCUUUUGUGAGGCCACUUACACUUAUCCUUGUUACUGUCUUUACUUCAAUUGAAAUUGCUGACAAGCUCGAUGAGGAUUACCUUGAAGAGGUUUGUGAUUUAGCAAUUGCUAGCUAUUCUUAGCUAAUCUUUGUUAUACUAAAUUAUGUUUUAUAUUAUUGUAAAACUCUUAUUGGCAUUUCCUUCUAGGUUAUUGAAUUGCCAACCAAACAGAGCUGUUUAAGAGUCCUCAAAUAGCUCAAUCAAAGGUAAUAUCUCCUGUUCAUAUUAUUUUGGUAUGCUUGUCUAAUUCCUCGAUGCUUCCAAAUAACCUACACAUUCCAAUACAUUUAUUUUGUCUAAUAUGAUAGGAUAUUAGGACGUACUAUUUUACAGGCCGCUUGGUGCAGGGGAAAUAUUGCUAAUGACAGCAGUGGUUCAUUUUCUGACUGCACCAUUAUCAAAAUAUACGGUUCUGAAUUAGUUCGGAAAUAUAUUGUGCAGGGAUCUAGAGUGCUCACAGAGCUCUUUUGGAAUGGGAAGUUUUAAUUCUUUUUCUACAUCAUAUGUAAUUGUUUAUUUCUCUAUUCCUUUUUUUUCCCUGCUAAGUAAACUGCAUGUUGCAUCUUCUUGGCUUUUUCAAACCGCAAAUGCAAUUUUUUUCUGUUUAAUUACCCCAUAGGUUAAUGGGUCUCGUGUUGCAUGUUUUCAUUUAUUGCUUCCAUAGUUCCAUGAUGCAAACCUCAUCAUUAUUUCUCCUCUUGCAAACUUUCAUUACCAUGUUUGUUCAUCUAGCUUUUGUUCUCCUGAUUUUACAUCAUUGUUUUAUUCUUUAAACGUAAACAUGUCCCAUCAAUAUUAUUGCAUCAACCGAGUAGCCACUUUCCACUUUUGGUUACAGCAGCCACAAUUGCUACGACAAUUGUUUUCUGUAAGCUUGAAGUUGUAAGUUUAUUACUGACAUCUUGACACUACCUAGACCUAGGCAGCAAAAUCUUAUAUGGAAAAUUGUUGCGUGUGUAACCAACUCAAAUUUAUCUCGAGUUUGGAGGUGAUAUUUAUGGAUAGUGUCUGCAGUUCCUAGAAAUUUCGGAUUGCUUAAGGAGGUUGAAAAUUGGCCGAGGAUCUGUCAGGUAUGGAUUACUUGAAAAUUGGCCGAGGAUCUGUCAGGUAUGGAUUACACACAGGCGAUAGCGUAGUGGUUGCCCUCCAAAUGUAAGUUUUCUCGCACAUGCACAUUCAUAGGUCUUCUAAUAUUAUGAGAUAGAUUCCCCAUCUGUCGUCUCCAUCAACCAUUUUUAUGCUGAAAUUGAACCUCAGGUGUCUUACUUCCUGCUGCUUCUUUGGACUGAUGGUGAUGGACGUAUCUCCUAGUUGAAAUUUUCUGUGACAUAGAUUACCUAGAUUCCACACCUACACUAUUUUUCUAGAGAGAUGCGGCUGAAAAUGAUUUUUGCACAAAUGAUCACCUUAAACAACAGUAGUGAAUAACUUACUGCUCUUCGAACUAGGACUGAAUAAGGGUCGAUGUACAUGCAGGUAAUGAAGAGCAAGUGGAUGAAAAGAGCCCGGUGUUGAAAUUUUGUUUUCUUUGGCUAGGCCAAGAUGAGGAAACGUGCAGUAUUUGUACAUAUGUAGAGAAACCCGCCUACUGAGCUCUGUGUGCAAUUGGUAAGAGUUAGUUAUGUAUAUGUCCAUUAAUGCAUGCCAUAGCAUCAAUAGAUGUAUACUCUUUAUGUUUCAGGGAAAUGGACAUGAAGUUCAGUACUACUAGCUAGUUAAUUAAAUGUGGAAACUUGCUUUGUUUGGACAACCACCUUUAUUAUCAGUAGCAAGGGAUACAGGAGCAUCAUCAGAACAGGGCAGCAGAUUUCUGUCAAUCAGUAUGGUCUGGUAGAGGCUUUUUGUUAUUAGAAUAUGUACUUUAUUGGACUUUGUAUAGGGUCUGUUUACACUUUAAUCAUUAGAGUCCAUUCACCUGACGGGGUUUGUUAACAGUUAACACCCGCUGUUCAGGAUUGUAACUUGGGUUUGCGAUGAUUAAUAACAUAUCUGUUUGAUUCUAAGAACAUUGUAUAUUUUGUCUCUUGACAAGCACAAAGAAUUACAAACUUUCCAAAAACUACAAUCCGACAUCUAAGAUGCUUUAACACAAUAAGCACAAUAUACAAAAAAAAUGAACAUAAUAGCAGAGAUGGAAGCUGCUAUGGUUGGAACCGUAAAUGAACUGUGCAGGUACCAACACCGUAUUCCUCCUCCACAACACCCCUUCCCCCCUUCACUUUCAUCCCUUCUUUCGUUGCUACCUACCAAUGUGAGUAGCGCCAUCAAGGUAAACGAAACCACACCAACAAUGCUUAUUAUCAUUAUUGGAAUUAUAUACGGCAGCAUAGUACAUGUGUUGGCCAUGUAAAUAGUUGAAUUAUACCCCGCGAAAACAGUUAUUGCAACAAGAAGAAUGGUUAAUGCACUAACCCUUCUCUUGUCAGGAGCCUCCUUGUCUACAUUGUUCUCAAGCAAUUUGAUGCUUUUCUCAACUUGAUCCAGCUUUUUUACAUUGUUCUCAAGCAAUUUGAUGCUUUUCUCAACUUCAUCUAGCCUUUUUACGUCUUGCUUGACUUGACCCAAUCUUUUGUCCAAUCCAUCUUCGACAUCAGUAGUGUAUUUCCAUCCUAGUUUCCAUACAUUGAUAUCGUAAUAAAACACUAUCUUUAUAAAACAAAAUGGAUAAUCAUAAUAAAAAGUAAAGUAAUAGAAAAUCUAAAAGUAAUUUUAGAGUGUUUUUAGUUACUCUACCUAACAAUAUUUGGUUCGUUGAUACCCAAAGAUUCCUCAACAUUUGAUUCUUGAACAGAAAAACCACCCAAUUCUUGGUUGGGGGUUCUGGCAUUUGUUGGUAUGGGUGGUUGUGGUGUUGAAAAAGAUGAAGGGGUGGUGGUGGAGUUGAAGUGAUGGUAGGGUUUAAGUGGUGGUUCUUGUGCUAAAACAUUAGUUUGCCCUUUAAACAAUGAAUCUGUUUGUUCCUUGCUUUCCUUCUGUAGCAGUGGUGUAUGAAGAUCAUCACUUAAAGAAGGUUUUGCAGGUGUAGGUGGUUUGAAGAAAGAGUGGGAGGGUUUUGGUGUUGAAGAAGAUGGGUUUUCUUUCAUAUCUAUCAAUGUUGCUUGUAGAUUUGAUGUUGAUCGUUGGAACGUGGAUCGUUCUUGAAGAGAUAGUGGUGGUGUUGUUGUUGAAGAAGUAAUAGAAGAAGAUGGGUUUUCUUCAACAAUUGAUCUUCUUUCUUGAUCAGAAAAACCACCCAAUUCUUGAUUGUGGGUUUUGGUUGCUAUGGGUGGUUGUAGUGUUGAAGAAGAUGAAGAGGUGGUGGUGGAGUUGAAGUGAUGGUAGGGUUUAAGUGGUGGUUCUUGUGCUAAAACAUUAGUUUGCCCUGUAAACAAUGAAUCUGUUUGUUCUUGAAGAGAUAGUGGUGGUGGUGUUGGUGAUGAUGAUGAUGGGGGUGUUAAGCUUUCUUCUUUAUUUCUUAGUUCUUGAAUAAGUGGUGGUGGUAGUGUGGGUGGUGGUGGUGGUGGUGAUGGUGAUGGUGAUGGUGGUGGUGGUGGUAGUGAUGAUGGUGGUGAUGGUGAUGGUGGUGAAGAAGUAGUUAUGGAAGCUAUCAUUGGUGAAAAAAAUCAAGCAAGCAGAGAGCAGAGAGAGAGAGAGAGAGAUAGAGAGAGGGAUUUUGAUUUAAAGUCUGGAGCUUUAUAGUUUAUAUAGAGUGACUACUGAGAAGAGAGAACUUUCUAAUCUCUGAGAACGUAGAAGCCCAAGUAAAAGGCCCAAUUAUGGAUUUGCACCUCUUCAUCCCCCCACAAGGCCACAAGUACUGUAAGUUAACAAGGAAUUUGUUUCUUCUUCCAUUAUCUCUCUUCCUCUCCUCCUUCUAAAUCUAAAUCUAAGGACUACAAUCCAUCUAUAUACAAUACCCUUUUUCUAGCUAGGUAAGCAUUUCUCUUCUUUGUACUCUGUUGUAUUGGAUUUCAGUAUCUGGGUUUGAUUCAGUUUCUUAUUUUCACAUGUUUGUACUGCGAGAUUUUGAGUUACAUUUGAGAAAAAGUUUCAAACUUUACACAUUAUAUCCAUCUUAUAUUCUUAUGAGUAUUCCCUCGAUAAAAAGUUGAAUUUAGGGUACUUACUGGUUUUUAAUUUUAGGUAAUCUCUUGGAUUGUUACAGAAUAAGCAAAGUUGGCAAGAAUGAGAAAGGAAUUCACUUACGUUUUCUUUGUGCAACUAUAUAUUACUCUUUGACUGAAGUGAAUUUUCAUAGCCUUACCUACAUUUGUGUCAUUGUGUGCGAGUGUGAGUGUGUGUGUGUGUGUGUUUUUUUUUUUUUUGCAUAGGCCAUUUCUCCCACUUACAUUUUUCAUUCUUAAUCUGGAUAGACAUCUAUCCAGAUUAUGUCACCAUGUGGUUUUUCAGGAACAGACAUAUACGACAAUUAUAGAUCGUUUAAAACCAAUAAUGUUGUUUAGGUCGAUAAUCCUAUACUUCUUAAAUUGUUGGCUGUCAAUACCAGAUUUCAACCUCAGUUCAGUUAUAAUGAGAACGAGUCAUCACAAUUAGUGCUCCCACUGAAUUUUCUCAACUCCCGUCCAAUUACAAUAUACAACUUUGAAGGUUCAGUUCUGCAUUUAUCUUGUACUUGAUAAAUUUGUAAUGGCUCUUUAUUGUUUUGCAAGGAGAGAAUUUGACUAUGUAGCACAACACCGAAAUCUGAGUGAACACAAACACAUUCUGAAAUGAGACAAGGUACUUGCGUUGUUGUUUUAUUCAAAAAAUAUCUAUUUAGGACGAAGGCUUCAAAUUUCAUUUUGUUUUUCAAUAGACUUGAUUAAGUUUGUCAACUAUUUGGUCGUUGAUGGUCUUAAUCCACAGUAUUUGAUGUUUGCCAAUUUCGAGGACUAUUGAUAUCAUGUUAGGACACUUAGGUCUAUACUGAAUUAAAUAAACAUUGUCCAAAUCCUUUUUCUUAUACGUUCUAUUGGACAAAUAAGAUCAUAGUACCUUUCUGCACCUAACAUUUCAAAACCAUUCUCUCAACCACUAUUAAUUUUGUUGUAGUUCAACUUAUGGUCUCUACACUUACACUAUGAAUAUAACUCCUCUUAUUCCUACUAAUACAUAUAAUAUUCCGCUAAUUGUUCAGAGGCUAAACUGUUCUUGGAUUAUUAACAGUUGGAAUUCCUGCUCAGAAGAUGUCAAUCUUAUUUGCACAGAUUCCAUACAAAUAUCAGGUACUUCUUCUAUUCUCAACCUGUUUCAUUCCUAUAUAGUGCAAAUUUAAAAAUGUUUCCUGAUUGAGGGCUAAUAACAAAACCAGUUCCCGGUAAACAAAACAUUCCCCUGGAUUUAAGUUUAGUCUUACACCUGUUUCUCUAUGUUUGUUGCUCUGCCCAUUUGAUGAUCACUUUUAGUAGAUUCGUGUAUAAUAUGCAACCUGUCAUUUUCAUUUUGUAAUCACGUCAGUACAAAACCAACUUUCUGACACAUAAAGGAGAAAUACGCUGGCCUCAAAGUAUGUCCACGACCAUCUAAUCUGUACUGUUGUAUAGCCUGGAAGUAGGUUCAGAUUGUGUAACAAACAAAUACAUUAAACUGACCUCUGUUCAUCUAACCGAAACCACCCAAUCUGUAGUAUAUGUUGCAUGUCCUGCAACUAGGUUCAUCUUUUGGAUGUGUAUCUUAAAUUUAACUAUUUUUUUUUUGGUUGGCUUAAAUUUAACUAUUAUACAUUCCUUCCCUUACAAUUUCACCAGAUAUUUUGAUUUUCUCAUUAAUGCUCUCUUCUAGAUUCUGAUCCUGUUUUGAUUGUGAACGUUGUGCACUUCGUCUUUUCAACAUUUGUUUCUCAUUCUCAAAACCCUCAUUAAUGAUAAAGAGUUCGCUAUAAAACCGUACGAAAGAAUAGAGAUUUAUAUACAGAAGGAAACCCUCAAGUAUAACUUCCUUCGUAUUACAAUGGUUAAGUUAGGUUAGUUGUUUUCUGGUCAAAUUAUAAGAAGUACUUUUGCUGCUAUCAAAAUAGGGUAGUUACAAUCAUCAACUUAUAGUAGUCAAAGGGCAACAACAAAACCAGCUGCAGAGAGGAGACCUUCACGAAGGCCAGGUUGCUAUUGGGGGAUAACUGGUGUUCUUUCUUAUAUUUGUUAUUUCAUAAACCUUCAUUGCAAAUUGCUAUGAAGCACGGACACCCCUCUUAAUCUCACGCACCGGUGUCGGACACGUGUCGGACACCGACACUCUCCGGACACCUUAGGACACGUGUCCGACACUUCAAAUCAAGUGUCUUACUUCAAAAAACCAAAUUUUCAAAUUUGGACACUGCCGGACACUUUCGGACACUGCUGGACACUGCCGGACACUGCAUCUGGACACCUUGGCUUAAGGAUUACUUUGUAAUUUUAGCUUUUUACAAUGGGCAAGAAGAUAUUACUUAAGAUUGCGAGAGGCAUAAACUAAUCAAAAUAGAAUUGGGUCAGGAAUAGAAUAAACAAACUAAAAGGUCUCUACUUCUCCAGAAACUUCUCUCUCAAGUCUCACCUACUUUCUCUUCAUCUUCCUUCAAUAUCAAUGGUUAUUCUCUCUCUAAGUUUGCUUCUCUUGUAUUCUUCAUUUUUCUCAAUACUUUGUUGCUUCUCUUAUCAAAUGAACUUUGACAAAUGACAAUGCCACAUUGUUAUUUGUACACUAUAUUGUUAUCUUCUAUAUGAAAAAUAUUGUAUGCUAGAAAAAAAUAAAAAUUAGAUGUAUAUUAUAACGUGUCGGUGUCCUACAUUUUCACAAAAUUACGUGUCGGCGUGUCCGUAUCGUGUCGUGUCCGUGUCCGGUGUCGGUGUCCGUGCUUCAUAGGCAAAUUGUGUGCCUCCAAUUUAUGCAAGCUUGUUGCUGGUUUUAUUGAAUAGAGGCUUAGUUGUAUUUAGGCUUUUACAAUUAUUUCUCUCUCAAGAGAGGUUUAAUUGUAAUUACUGAUUUACAAUUGCUCCUUUAUUUUGAUUUCUUCAUCGGAUGGAGUUUUUCUCUGUGUUGUGAGCUUUCCAUUGAUAUUUAUUAUUCAUCGAAAUAGUGAUAUUUCUCUCCCAAAUUUUAAAUUGCAAAUAUUAUCCACUAAUAGUGAUUGACAACAAAUAAAAUAUUUUUGAGGCAUGGUUUUAUGGAGUGGAAUUUUUACUUUUACUAAGAACGUUUUUUUAUAGAGCCUUCCACAUCUGUUCUCGGAAACAUAACAAAUUAACAUACUUAUUCCUCUGCUGCUGUGGUUUGAUUUCUUUAGCUUGCUGCUGCUGUGGUUUGGCUUCUCUCUUUGGCAUUUUUACUAAGGUUAGUUCGACUUUUCCUUUUUUUUUUUUUAGUUUGUAGGUUGUGGACUGAUAAAGCAGUGUCUUUACCAGGGAUUACUAAGUAUGUUAGAUUGGUACCACCAAUCCAUUCUUGAAUGAUUUGUGAUUGUCUACCUGAACAUCUUCUUCCAAUAAUGGACACACUAACAACAUGAACCCUCAGUAUUUUGCAAUGCAUUCCGGGCAUACAAGAACUGGAAUUUUUGUUCUUGCUGAUUCUUUCUAUGUUUUUGUAUCGUUAUUCUGUUGUUAGAAAAAGUUAUUUAAAGUUUCAUGUACAACAAUUUCCAUCUUGCUGGGUAGCUCCUUAUAUUAUUAGGAGUAGUUGGAUGAAUGUUUAGUAGUCCGGCACAUUUCAAUCUCUGCCGCAGUUCGUCCAGGCAAUUUUCUUCCAAUCAAAUGCCAUCUGAGCUUUAAUAAAAAAAAGGUCAUUAAACUCUCGAAAAACAAUAUUAGUGUGUCGGCUUUAUUAAAUGAUAACUGUGUUCUUGUAUGGUCUUUAAUCUUAGCAUUACAUUUAUUUAGAUUUAGAUUUAUUUAUUAUUUAUUUGUGAUCUAUUUGGUUUCCACUAGGGUUGUUAUUGGUUGCUUUACGUUUAUUUGGAUUUGGAUGUAUUUGUAAAUUCAAAGGGAUGACUGAUAAAAUAGGUUCCCUAAAAUUGGUGUUUUGUUUUCCCCCUUUGUGGCAGUUCUCUAAUAUUUAUGGUUGUGGGUUACAGUGGAAAUGUCUUGGUUUGAUUAUUGUGAUGGAGUUGGGAGACCAACAACGGCAGGUUCGUAUGUCUGUAACAUAUGGGAUAUGGUGGUUGAUGUAUAUUUAUUGUACAAGAAAUAUAUUGCGUGUUCUUUAAUGAAACCUCUGUGUAUGUGAUAUAAUAAAGAUUGUUACUGCUUUACCGUUCUUGCUCUAUAAUGUUGGCCCUGCUUGGUUACCCCGCAAAAAUUUGCAUAAAAUUUAGCCUAAUUUAAUAUGCUUGAAACUCUUGAUAAUUAGUUUUAUGAACAAAAUUUAUGCAAAAGUUUUGUGCAAAAAUUUUACACCUUUCUUUAAUAAACUUAGUAGGGGACCAUU